CAGGAGUGAUAAGCGUGAACUAGAGAGUGCUGUGCAGGAGGAAGCUGGGGCCGCCGUCGGGCCUUCUCCCUCCAGGGGCCCAAGAGCCACUGGUACUCAGUGUCUGGGUGGGGGCAGGGGGGAUUUUUGUUCUCCCAGCACCUGCGGCUGUUGAGACCAGAGAAGCUGGUGGUCGACCACAGCCUGGGGUAUUAGUUCACCCCUAGCUUCUCCCCAGCGAGACCCCAGGGCCCUUGGGCACAGGGGAUUAAGCCUCUAUCUGCUUACGUGCAAGCGGAAGAAAUAGGCCCAGAGAGCAACAGUGGCGGGUCUGCAGUCACACAGCCAACUUGCGCUUGUGGCAGUGGCAAGGUUGGUGAGUAUCUGAGUCUUCAGGCCACGGCAUUUUCCGCUCGAGUGGAGCCUGAAGUUCUGAGGGUACCCCUCACUCAAGCUCCAGGCGUCAGGAAAAGAACAUUCCACGAAGUCCAUCUGGAAGACGGUCCUUUCCCUGCUGCCCCCAGAUACCAGGUGUUUCUGCCACUACCUUUGCCAGAUAUGUACCCUCUGACACCUGCUUCUCUUGUUGGUGGCUUUUGGACACAAGCCUGAUGCUGCUGCAGGUGGAUGCCAACUUGGGCUGGGGCCAUCUCCAAGGUGUCCUCCCUCUCACGGCCUGUGCCUGGGCUGGGAAGAUGUGAGCAGAGGUGAACUUUACAGCUUCUAGAACAUUCCCUGGAACACAGCAAGUGUUCAGUAUUGUUCAUGGAGUGACAGAUGUCUCAGCCAAGAAGGUACAAUCACAGGGAAGAAUGACUUCAACUGGUCUUGACUUCAACCUGCUUCCAGCCUGGUUCCCUUCUCCCACCUCCCUACAGCCCACAGAAGAUCUUUUCCAAACUGGAAGUCUGUCCAGGUCAUUCUUCUGCUCUAAGGCUUUCAGUAGCUCCCCCUUAUCCCCAGGAGGAAGUCCAAAUGCCUUAACAAGUGUCAAGGAACACUUGGUGAGCCCUGCUUUCCUUGCUAGUCACUCGUGCACAGCUGAGUCUUUCCCCAGAGUGGAUGUCAUUCAUGCUGUUCCCAUUGCCUGGAUUCCUGCUCCUCUCCACCCCAUUCAACUGAUAAACUCGUGGUUUUUUUUUUUUUUUUUUUUUUUUU
RNAcentral lists this long non-coding RNA (1137 nucleotides) under Homo sapiens (human). RNAcentral describes it as "HSALNT0387316". The record is from RNAcentral. Lineage: Eukaryota; Metazoa; Chordata; Mammalia; Primates; Hominidae.